Molecule: ribosomal RNA, 244 nt
Filed under: uncultured bacterium
Lineage: Bacteria
Description: partial small subunit ribosomal RNA
Rfam family: Bacterial small subunit ribosomal RNA
Source: RNAcentral
AGAAUCAACGCUGGCGGCGUGCCUAACACAUGCAAGUCGAACGAGAAAGUGGAGCAAUCCAUGAGUAAAGUGGCGCACGGGUGAGUAACACGUGACUAACCUACCCUUGAGUGGGGAAUAACCUAGGGAACCUGGGCUAAUACCGCAUAACACCUACGGGCCAAAGGAGCAAUUCGCUUAAGGAGGGGGUCGCGGCAGAUUAGCUAGUUGGCGGGGUAAUGGCCCACCAAGGCAGUGAUCUGUA